AGUGGGGAAUAUUGCACAAUGGACGAAAGUCUGAUGCAGCAACGCCGCGUGGAGGAUGACACAUUUCGGUGCGUAAACUCCUUUUAUAUGAGAAGAUAAUGACGGUAUCAUAUGAAUAAGCACCGGCUAACUCCGUGCCAGCAGCCGCGGUAAUACGGAGGGUGCAAGCGUUAUUCGGAAUCACUGGGCGUAAAGGGUGCGUAGGCGGUUUGAUAAGUCUGAUGUGAAAUCCUAUGGCUCAACCAUAGAACUGCAUUGGAAACUGUCAAACUAGAAUACUGAAGGGGCAGAUGGAAUUAGUGGUGUAGGGGUAAAAUCCGUAGAUAUCACUAGGAAUACCGAAAGCGAAAGCGAUCUGCUGGGAAGUUAUUGACGCUGAGGCACGAAAGCGUGGGGAGCAAACGGGAUUAGAUACCCCGGUAGUCCACGCCCUAAACGAUGAAUGCUAGUCGUCGGAAAGCUCGUCUUUUCGGUGAUGCAGUUAACACAUUAAGCAUUCCGCCUGGGGAGUACGGUCGCAAGAUUAAAACUCAAAGGAAUAGACGGGGACCCGCACAAGUGGUGGAGCAUGUGGUUUAAUUCGAAGAUACGCGAAGAACCUUACCAAGCCUUGACAUUGAUUGAAUCCCGUAGAGAUACAGGAGUGCCAUUUCGGUGGAACAUGAAAACAGGUGCUGCACGGCUGUCGUCAGCUCGUGUCGUGAGAUGUUGGGUUAAGUCCCGCAACGAGCGCAACCCUCGUCGUUAGUUGCUAACAGUUCGGCUGAGCACUCUAGCGAGACUGCCUUCGCAAGGAGGAGGAAGGUGAGGACGACGUCAAGUCAUCAUGGCCCUUAUGGCUUGGGCUACACACGUGCUACAAUGGGGCGUACAGAGAGUUGCGAUACCGCGAGGUGGAGCUAAUCUCAUAAAGCGUCUCUCAGUUCGGAUUGGACUCUGCAACUCGAGUCCAUGAAGCUGGAAUCACUAGUAAUCGUAGAUCAGCAAUGCUACGGUGAAUACGU
This 1004-nucleotide ribosomal RNA is filed under the name uncultured bacterium. Its description in RNAcentral is "bacterial SSU rRNA". It matches the Rfam family "Bacterial small subunit ribosomal RNA", at positions 353 to 1371 of the family's 1533-position model. The record is from RNAcentral.